UACGAAGGGGCUAGCGUUGUUCGGAAUCACUGGGCGUAAGCGCACGUAGGCGGAUCUUUAAGUCAGAGGUGAAAUCCCAAGGCUCAACCUUGGAACUGCCUUGAUACUGGGGAUCUUGAGUCCGGGAGAGGUGAGUGGACUGCGAGUGUAGAGGUGAAAUUCGUAGAUAUUCGCAAGAACACCAGUGGCGAAGGCGGCUCACUG
This 204-nucleotide ribosomal RNA is filed under the name uncultured bacterium. RNAcentral describes it as "partial 16S ribosomal RNA". It matches the Rfam family "Bacterial small subunit ribosomal RNA", at positions 524 to 731 of the family's 1533-position model. The record is from RNAcentral.